This 1476-nucleotide long non-coding RNA is filed under the name Linum usitatissimum (flax). RNAcentral's name for it is "long non-coding RNA (LUSI_LNC005210)". Lineage: Eukaryota; Viridiplantae; Streptophyta; Magnoliopsida; Malpighiales; Linaceae. The record is from RNAcentral.
GCGGUUCCGUAAUGGACAGCUAGAGGUAUUUUACUAUUUUUCCUGAAUAUAGUUCAUAAGGCGGUUCAAAAAAAAUAUACCUUUAUCGCGUUGGCGCUACGCGAGGAUUGACUCAAAAGGGCCGCGUGAAGUUGAGGACCUAGAUGAACAUGAAUAACGUGGAAAUAGGGGUAGAAAUGUAAAGUUAUGGGAGAUGGACAGAUGGUUGGACAAUAAAAUUCUAAAUCACUGAAACUUUUUCCAACGACUAGUCACCAUACUCUUGAUAGCCUUGUUUAUAUCGAAUUAUCAAAGGAUGAUAUUUUCCUUCUAGUUUGAUCUUAGGUGCUAAGGACUCUUCUCCCUCGUGGGUUGGUCUAGCAUUUUGCAUGGCCGUCGGUUGCUCCUCUAGGAGUCUCGUUGGCUGAUUGGAGACGGUGCGCAAACUUCUACUCUUCUUUCGAAUUGACUGCCGACGACUCCUCCUUUUGCUCCACUCCUUUUUUUCGACAAUCUCCCCAGAUUCAGUUCCGUCAUUGGUUUCAGGUCUUAUUUCUCAAGGUGUCUGGAAUCGGCCUGAUUUUUUCACUCUUUACGUUCGAUUUGAUAUCGACAAUUCUUUCUCUGCCAUUAUUGAUUUGUGCCAUUGCUGAUAAGCUAAUCUAGCAGCCGGUUUCGAAGACAACUCAUCACUUGUUUUUCAAUUGUCUGGCCGCUAUUCAGCUUGUCGAUGCUUGUAAUAUUAACGCCGUCAAUUAACAAGAAUCCUUUCGUCUUAUCUUUUUUAUGGCGAUUGUGGAAAUUUAGAAAUAUUGUUGUUUUUACUAAUACUCGAGCAUCGAUUGAUCUAUUAGCUCGGCAAUUUAAUCUUCAUUGGGAGGAGGCUAUUUCUGUUUUGCAGGUACAUCUGUUUACUUCGCCACGGGUCUUACUUUUCCCAUCUGGUACUCGACGUCCUCCUCAUCAACCUUGGCGUUUUUGUCGAUGCUCCUGUCAGACCGGCCGCUGAAGUGCAACUGCUAUUGCUCUAUUGGCUUGGUUCUGUUUGAUGAGUUCAAGUCUUUGAUGAUUGAGAGAGGGGAAGUGUUUUUCCAGUUGCAAAUCCUUUCACUCUAGAGAUGAUAACGUUACGGAUUGCUUUGGUUUUUGCAUUUCAAUAUGGAUAUUUGUCGACUAUUUUUUAUUCGGAUCGGUAGAGAUAGUUCGUUUGGUCAACUCUCCCGACCCUGAUGUUUGGGCAGGUCAUAUUUUGGAUUACUGACGAUUUCUUCUUCGACUUCUUCUUAAAAAUUUAACCUAUUUCUCUAUUCUGCACGUGCUGUGUAAGAAUAAUAACGCCGUCCAUUUUAUGAUAAGAGAGACUCUAAAUUAUUUUCCAUUUUUCGUCCUUAAAUUUACGUUACUACAUUGUGCAUAGUUAUUUUUUGUAUUUCUUAACUUUUUGUUCAUUUAUGAUAUCUCAACUAAAAAAAAUCAUACAAAUAACUUAUAAACCGA